Molecule: transfer-messenger RNA, 355 nt
Filed under: Acidimicrobiia
Lineage: Bacteria; Bacillati; Actinomycetota
Also listed under: 1 other name
Description: CAIUKV01 sp016870245 Standard tmRNA
Rfam family: transfer-messenger RNA
About the family: Bacterial tmRNA, also known as 10Sa RNA or SsrA, is named for its dual tRNA and mRNA-like properties. Its role is to liberate the mRNA from a stalled ribosome. To accomplish this part of the tmRNA is used as a reading frame that ends in a translation stop signal.
Source: RNAcentral
GGGGGUGCGUGGCUUCGAUUCCGUGCGCGGGAUCGGGGGAAGCGAGCCGACGUUGUCGAAUCGUCGUGAAAAAGUCGACACAACCAACAACUGCCAACUCUGACGAAAUGGCACUGGCUGCCUAAACCCCAGCCACGUCCGCCCGGUCUCUGCCGUUCAGGCCGGAUCCGGACGACAUCUCGAACGGCUCACCGCUGAGACGGGCCUCACGGCUCAUCGGGACACCACAGUGAGGCUGGGGUCGUCGCCUGCCGCCGGUGAGUGGCGGCGACCCGAGACCCAAUCACCGGCUGCGCUCGGAGAAGCCCCGACGAAGACUCGGAAGACCCGGGUUCGACUCCCGGCACCUCCACCC